RNAcentral lists this ribosomal RNA (253 nucleotides) under uncultured bacterium. RNAcentral's name for it is "partial 16S ribosomal RNA". It matches the Rfam family "Bacterial small subunit ribosomal RNA", at positions 524 to 776 of the family's 1533-position model. The record is from RNAcentral.
UACGUAGGGUGCAAGCGUUGUCCGGAAUUAUUGGGCGUAAAGAGCUCGUAGGCGGUCUGUCGCGUCUGCUGUGAAAACUCAGGGCUCAACCUCGGGCUUGCAGUGGGUACGGGCAGACUAGAGUGCGGUAGGGGAGAAUGGAAUUCCUGGUGUAGCGGUGGAAUGCGCAGAUAUCAGGAGGAACACCGAUGGCGAAGGCAGUUCUCUGGGCCGUAACUGACGCUGAGGAGCGAAAGCAUGGGGAGCGAACAGG